GGCCCCGCCCCCACACUGGUCAGCUGACGUGACGUUGGGGGCAGUCUGGUGCAUUUGCUGGACGUAUUUAAGCACCUUCCCAGCUCUUCAGCCAGUGGCCAUUUUCUAUGCAGGCCUUACAGCUGUCACUAGCUGUGGCCAUCCUACUCGCAUUCCAGAUACCUACCUGUACUAUAAGGAUACACUACAAUUUUACUUUACCCAUGGUCGCUGUGCUGUCUGGGAGGGAUGCUUUAUGCGCUCUGCUGUUUGCCUGCUGGUCUGCCACCUCUGUCCCGGGACAGGCAUAUGUUUGGUCUUAACUGUAUUUACAUUACCACUUUGACAUACUAUAUAUCCCACUACAUCCGCCCCUGAUGAGUGUUUUUCAUAU
Molecule: long non-coding RNA, 373 nt
Organism: Rana temporaria (common frog)
Lineage: Eukaryota; Metazoa; Chordata; Amphibia; Anura; Ranidae
Exons: 3
Source: RefSeq, a predicted model, not a curated record